UGCGGGGUGGAGCAGCCUGGUAGCUCGUCGGGCUCAUAACCCGAAGGUCGUUGGUUCAAAUCCAGCCCCCGCUA
This is a transfer RNA of Kangiella koreensis DSM 16069, 74 nucleotides long. It matches the Rfam family "tRNA". Rfam says of the family: Transfer RNA (tRNA) molecules are approximately 80 nucleotides in length. Their secondary structure includes four short double-helical elements and three loops (D, anti-codon, and T loops). Further hydrogen bonds mediate the characteristic L-shaped molecular structure. tRNAs have two regions of fundamental functional importance: the anti-codon, which is responsible for specific mRNA codon recognition, and the 3' end, to which the tRNAs corresponding amino acid is attached (by aminoacyl-tRNA synthetases). tRNAs cope with the degeneracy of the genetic code in two manners: having more than one tRNA (with a specific anti-codon) for a particular amino acid; and 'wobble' base-pairing, i.e. permitting non-standard base-pairing at the 3rd anti-codon position. Lineage: Bacteria; Pseudomonadati; Pseudomonadota; Gammaproteobacteria; Kangiellales; Kangiellaceae. The record is from Rfam.